CUUCAGCUGCAAGCAUUCUUCCAUGUGAUUCAGAAGAGAGAGCAGACUUCCAUGAACGAUAUAUCAUCGAAGAGAUAUGUGAAAAACACCUUGAGGAAUGAUUCUAAACAACGUUUGCCAUGUUUCAGUCGAUAUUAUGGAGUUAAUUUGGAAAAAAGUUCGGCGUUUUGAUGACUGAAUUUUCGUUUUUUUUGGGUAGCCAACGUGAUGAACAAAACGGAGCGAUUUCUCAUACACAAAGAAUCUUUUUGGAAAAACUGAACAUUUGCUAUCUAACUGAGUCUCCUCAUUGAAAACAACCGAAGUUCUUCAAAGACACACAUCUGACAGGAGAACGUGGCCCGGAGCUGGGGGGGCCCAGAGGCAGACAGAGGAUUGUCAGCAGAGUCCCAUUUCUCCCGGAGUGUGACAUGGGUCCGUGUGGAGUGAGCAUGGAGAGAGAUCCAGUCCAAACUUCUCUCAUGUUGCUGGUGUACCGGUAGGAAAAUGGACAAGACAUAAUGGACUGUAAAGGACAGAGGCGGUGAGAGACAUUAUCAAGGGCCAUCCACUUUGAACAUGUGCCAUUAAAAUGACAAACUGAAACACUAUCUGAAGAAGAACAUGAAGAAACGCCAGGAAAGGAAGAAUGAGUGUCGUGAAGUGAGGGUGGUCAACCGUGCCCGUAAUUGAUUUAGGCUUAUCCAAAAUGGUUUAUUUGGGGUAUCAGGAUGACUGUGGGGGUCUGCACAAUGCGAAAUGUAUAGUAAUUUAGACUAAGAAUGCAUUGAAAUACCAAUCUGUCAUUACCACAGGUGAUGAGAAAAGUUAGGCUAUUAAAUAGGACCAACUUGAAGCACUAAGGACUGUCAUUCUAAAUCUGGGUUAGAUAAUGUAUCAAUAGUUAUAUUUAUAAUUUGGAAAGGGAAGGCUUCUAGAGACAGAACUAUGCCCUAAAAAUGUGAGAAGAGACACUAGAUUGUAGCUUGGGCUAACCUUUCCCCGAUCUCAUUCUUAGCAAUGUUGGUGUGAAACUGUUAUAACAUGUUCUCUCUUUCUCUUCCCUGUGAAACAUUAUUAACAUGCUGUAAGGCAAUCUGCACCUUUUUGACUGGUAAGAUUUCAUCAGCUAUCAUGUUUUCUGCUCCUCCA
This is a long non-coding RNA of Oncorhynchus tshawytscha (Chinook salmon), 1131 nucleotides long. NCBI's taxonomy places the organism in Eukaryota, Metazoa, Chordata, Actinopteri, Salmoniformes, Salmonidae. The record is from Ensembl.